Long non-coding RNA from Gasterosteus aculeatus aculeatus (three-spined stickleback), 540 nucleotides. The record is from Ensembl. Lineage: Eukaryota; Metazoa; Chordata; Actinopteri; Perciformes; Gasterosteidae.
ACAACACAAUGUCAGAGGCAAAGAGAAUUCGCUCCAAAAAUUAUAGUGAGCAUGAAAAAGCACUACUAAAACUAAUUGUAUCGAACCAUCCAGUCAUUGAAAGCAAAAUCCAUACUGCUGCUAUUGAACAUAAGAAAAGAAGUGCUUGGACUGCAAUUGGCAAAGAAUUCAAUGCAAAUGAAGAUGUCACCACAAGAACAGUACAACAACUGCAGGUUCUAUGGAAGAACAUUAAACUGGGAUUAAAAAAAGAGAAUGCAGCAAGCAGAAGAGAGCGAUUUAUUACAGGUGGUGGACCACCAAUAAAGGACACAUGUGAUGAAUUGGGUGACUUGCUGUCUGGUAUAAUAGAGCACCAGCAACCUCUGGAUGGUAUACCAGACAAUGACCAUUUGGACAGUGAACAUGGAGAACUGAGCACAAAUGAGGAAACCAAUCAAGAGCCAGUUCACAACGAGCCUGAACCCUCCACAUCUGCUAUGGCACCCCUGGGAGAUGAAGCUGCUACCAUCCAACAGAGACCAAAAAAGAUAACUAUGC